ACCAAUAAGAUCAUGGGUUGGUUCCUUAUUGGAAGCUUACAUACAUGCAUGGGGAAAAACAUGCAAAAUCAGCUUUCAGGUGCGCCAGCUUCUUUUGAAAACACAGCCAAGUUAAAUUCUCCUACUUGUUGCCCUACUUACUUUCUAGUCAACAAUAUUGGGAAGACAACAGAUACUGCUUUAAAGGGAGCACAUCUGGAAGUGCAGAUAUCUUGAGACACCCACCAAUCUACUCUUCCUCGGCCUCGUACUCGUCGUCAUCGUCGUCGUCGUCAUCGUAUUCAUCAACAUCAUCAUCAUCUUGAGUACUAGCAGCUUUACGGCGGAAGCUGUCCAUCUCGUACCUCCCGUCGUCCUCGUUGAUGAACUCCAGACCAUACACCGCAUCCCUGUGCUUCACUACCAACCAGCGAAGCAGCCGGUCCUCCUUGUUUAGAUAGUGCAGUUCUUUAGUAAAGGAAGGUGGCACCAUCAUGGUCAUUUGCACAAGUUGACCCUGAAAGCACAACGGCACAUAAGCAAACCAGGAGACCACACACAAUGCAAUUCAUCAGUUUGCACUUUAUGCUGCAAUGCUAGACGAAAGGAAAGAUGACAAUGAACAACGAUUGGAAUUUAACACUACUUAACCAGGUGUGUAUCAGAACAAUUCUCAAAUGCAUUGAGAUGCAUUCCGUGUGCCUCCCAGAUGCUUUGGCCAUUUUUCUAUGGGUGCUGUAAUUUACUUUUCUCACUAUUUGGUCCAAGGUUUAUNNNNNNNNNNNNNNNNNNNNNNNNNNNNNNNNNNNNNNNNNNNNNNNNNNNNNNNNNNNNNNNNNNNNNNNNNNNNNNNNNNNNNNNNNNNNNNNNNNNNNNNNNNNNNNNNNNNNNNNNNNNNNNNNNNNNNNNNNNNNNNNNNNNNNNNNNNNNNNNNNNNNNNNNNNNNNNNNNNNNNNNNNNNNNNNNNNNNNNNNNNNNNNNNNNNNNNNNNNNNNNNNNNNNNNNNNNNNNNNNNNNNNNNNNNNNNNNNNNNNNNNNNNNNNNNNNNNNNNNNNNNAUUCUCACGGUGCUGCAUUUCAUUUUCAAACUGUUUGGUUGAAGGUUUUAUCGAAGAGUUGCAGGAAAAAAAAUGUUUACACCCAGACUGCUACUGGGUCCAUCACAAUUUGGUACAGGUGGAAAGUUACAACCAGUUAACUGAUGCAUCACUGCAAUCCUUAGUCAGACUGACAUAGCACUCACUGUAUGGAAGUUGACGAGUUAUUUCAAAACAAAGGCUGAACUACAAACUUCAAAAGACGAGGAUGCGAUAAUACAAGAUAUACUGGAAAUGGUGUGUUCACAAUUUGUCAAAGUUAAAGCGCAUUCCAAUCGGCCAACCACUGUUAAUUAUUCAGUAACUCACAAACUAAUCUCGCAUGAGAAGGUAAUGACUCAAGUCAGAUUCACUUACAAAAAGUGAGAUUGCAUGAAAAGAUACAGUAACAAAAAAACAUGGUAUAUAAGUGAGAAAGGAUAGCCUGCACAUCAAAGGAAAAAAAUAUAACCUCAAUAAUGAUCACUCAGAAGCCUGUAGAGUAAGGAACCCGAGAAGGCAUAAUGCCUCCAAAGUUCUGUUCAAGAACAUUAACAAUAUAUUGUUUUUCUACACUCCCCAAUAGUCUUUGUGACAGUGAUCAGCCCUUCUCCACUAAGAUGCUUGUGCUAAAAGUGUUACAGGGUCUCAACCUGAAAAUUGACAAAGCAGCCUUUAUCGAGGUCAAGAAUUUCAGGGCUGAGGCCUCGCGACGUGUUCCAACUGAACAUCCUGUCUCAGACAGGCUGACCAUGCUGCAAAGGUUGUCAUAAUGGCAGGUGUGUUCAAGCAAUGGGAAGAGUGAAACUUGUUCUCGAUAUAGAUAGCAAAAGUACUAUCUUUCCCUAAAUUCUUCUCCUGUGCAUGCUAUCUCGUGUUCCGUGAUUAGAAAAGACCUGUUUCUUGUCACCAAAUAAAGCCCUUGAGUGCUUCCAGAAGAAGCAAGCAGUGUCAUUCAGCUGCACGAUAAUAUCAAGGAUCUCCAAGGAUAUGGAGUAAAAAAAGGUGCUGAAACCGUCUUGAGUACAAAGAAUGUGGUCAUGAACAGGCUCAUACUUCCAGUGAUUCGACUCCUUGGGGUCCGUGACGUGCCUGCGUGUUGGCCAUUUGAACCGCCAAAGAAAUUAACACCACUGCUUGGGACAAAGAACCAUGUGCGGCACUGGAGGUGGGAGAAGCAGAGGUGUCAGCUAAGCUGGAGCUAUGGCGGCAGUGAUAUGUAAGCAAGCCCGAUUGGUGAGCUUGCCGGAACUGUGGUUGGUGGCCAAAGUGUGGCAGCCAAAAGGAUCGUAAAAAGGGGUGAGCAGAAGGGCAAUGCUAUACCAAGAAUACUUUUAAACCCCAGAAAAUCAAAGAUCCAAGCACCAUACCCUUCUAUUCAGUAUUCAAAGCAAACAGAUCACAGUGCGAGCCACUCGACCAGUGCAAUCCUGAGUUCUGAUUUAAAACACUAACUGGAAUCAAUAGAAUGAUCUGAACCUAAACAAAUUAUCUACUAAGGCACUCUAUCGAUGACACCGAGGUCAAUACCCACGAGCAUUCUAAAAACCAACGGCCAAACCUACUUGGACAUUUCAUCGAGCAUGUCAAAGGCACCACCCAUCACCAAGACCCAAAACGCUAAAGGCCUAAACACUCAUACCAACUUAAAUAUUUCUUCAUAUACGCACCAAUCUAGCCGAACGAAUCAGAUCGGCACGCUCCGCGCUGUCACGAGGCACAUCACACGGGGAAUACGAGGCUUUGAUCGAGGAGUACAAAUAACGAGUGGCAAACCGGGGCAGACCUGGAAGUGACGGCCGUCAAGCUUCCUGAUGCCGUAGCCGAGGUGCACUUUGCCAAAGGAUUUGAGCUCGGUGACAACGCCGUUGCGCUGGUAGGCGCGCCCCGCCACCCGCGCCACAAGCUCCGCUAUGGCCUCCUUGGUCACCAUCGGUUUCACCAUCAGCAUGCAGUCGUACAGCGGCAUCUUCCCCGCAACUCCUCUUUGCCUCUCCCUCGGCAAGCCUGUACCUCGCGCUCACUGGUUCUCUAAAAUGCACCGAUAUGGAUACGUGUAUCAGUAUCAGGCCGAGACGGAUAUGUAAAUUCAGAAUUUUUGAAAAGCGCCAAUACGGGGAUUCAUUUUAAUAUUUUUUGAUUCACAAAAAAAGUAUAGAAGCUAGGAUCAGAACAGCUGAUUAACUUCUUGUUUGCUCUACUGUGGAUGCCGAAGCAGCUCCAAGCCCCUCCAACUGACAAUGUUGAUGCCCUGUUCCAACUCCAAGUUCCAAAGUGGUAGAAUUAGACUUUCAGUAAGUGUAAAAUGAAUAUGGAGCAUCAAAUCAAAUCACUAGUUAGUUGUACAUCUAUCAUGGCAUAACACGAAAGGUGGAACCUGAAAAUCAGUCAGCUAACAUGCAAAAGGAGAAACAAUCUCUUUAAACGGCAAUAUUUUAGGUCUGACUGUUAAAAUCAACAACACAGCAUAACGGUAGCACUAUAUUCCCAAUCAUAAACAAGAUUUGGGAUGUCUAUCAUGCCAACAAUACCACUAGUACUAAUGUGCGCACCAAUUUCGGCCAGUAUAACCAAGACAAAGCUUGUGCUCUCUCAAAUUGCAUGUUACUGCUAAGCUUUGAUUUCAGGUGCAGAUAAAACAACUUAAUCUUUUUCCUUUUCAUAUAUCGUCAAUCAUUGCAUGUUUCACUGCUAACAUGUUUAAACCAAAAUAUUUGCUCAUCUAAAAAAACCAAGCUACGAGUUGUAAACAUUUGGCCCUACAAGCAUAUCACAAACGCCUAUGAAGCAAAAUGCUCUCACAUGUAAACUCGAAAAAUCAUGCAGCAAGUACUCAUCAGGAAAUAAUCAUCGUUAUAUAUAUCCUCACAAUAUCAGAUCUACAGCAAGUACCCACCCAAUACAAAAAUCAGGAAGGGAAAAACAUUGAAGAGGGGGAAAGGAGAGAGGAGGGGUGAGGGAGGAAGGAGGGAGGACGAAGGACGAAGGAGUGGUGGCUACCUGCUACCUGCUGCCUAUGGACUGGUAGAGCGGCUGCUCCAGGGAGGGAGGCGCUGCUGGGAUCCUGUACCGGCGGCGGGGCAGCGGAGGCUUCGGCCGGCAGUGGUGGCGGCGGCGGCGGGUAGGAACCCUAUACCUGUCGCGCUAGGGAAGGACUCUUGGGGGAGGGAGGCUCGCUUAAGGGCAGAGAUCAUCAGCCAUUCAAACGCGCCAUCCAACGGACGUCAUCCAUCCCAAGCAAAAGCCUCCCACACUCGAACGAGGCAUCCAGCCCAGUACAACCGAAACAAAGUUCAGUUUUUCAGCCUGUUUUCAGUCACUAAGAAAUACAAAUCCUCCCCUCUGAUCCGUUUUAAGAUGUACUAAAGCUGCGACAGUGUCCAAGGAUAAACUCUUGCAACGUUGGCAGCCUCCGCCUGAUACUAUGAUCAAGAUAAACUCGGAUGGAGCGUUCCAAGCGGGAGAAUCUCAUGCUGGAUGGGGGGUCAUUGCCAGAGAUGCAGAAGGAAACAUCGUCGCAGCCCGGGCCGGUCGCCAGGACAACGUGUGUGAUGCUUUCGGGGCCGGAGCACAUGCGAUGGCACAAGCUAUAGCCCUUGCUGCUGAUCUAGGCAUGCCACAUGUGAUCUUUGAGACCGAUUCCCAACUUCUGGCCGAUACCCUGGAUUUGCAGAAGGUCGACUCAUCACCUUAUACUGCAAUUAUUGAGGAUUCGAAACUCCAACUGAAGCUAUGGUUCUCCAAACAUGUAAUCUCUGCAUGUCGGCGUAGUGCAAACCAUGUAGCUCAUGAACUAGCAGCCAUUGGGCGCAUGUAUGACCCAAACCACUACAUAGAGUGGGAGUGCGAUGUACCAGCCCGCCCUUGUGAUUGUUUGUGCUCAAGGCGAUUUGCCUGAGCACCGUUAAGGUUCAAUAAAGCUUUGCUUUAACUCAAAAAAAAAAAAAACUGCGACAGUAAUAUGGAUCGCACGGAGUAACAUUUUUCCAGUCAGUUACCAAUACAAACAACAAUUUUUUUUUACAAAUUGCAGCGUUGUAUAAUGCCAAUGAUUAAUAUUUUUCAGUUAGUUAACAAACAGUUUUCUGGUUAACAAACAAUAGUGUGGAAGCUCUUUUAUUGCUAAGAUACACUCCCUCCGUUCCUAAAUAUAAGUCUUUUUAGAUAUUUUAAUAUAGACUACAUACAAAUGUAUAUAGAUAUACUUUAAAAUGUAGAUUCACUCAUUUUGCUCUGUAUGUAGUCCAUAUUAGAAUCUUUAAAAAGACUUAUAUUUAAAAACGGAGGGAGUAUAAGCUACCCAGUAGGUUCGAACAGCAUCAGUUUUUCAGUCUGUUAACAAACAAUAGCAAUUUUACUACUGAGAUACACAGCAGUUUUUCAAUCAGUUUUACUACUGUGAUAAGCAGCAGUUUUACAGACGAACAACAACAGUUUUAGUACUGAGAUAAGCAGUAGUUUUUCUGUCAGUUAGCGAACAUUAGUAGUUUUUCAGCAAGAUCUUUCAUGUAUACUUCCAUUGCAUAAACAUGAGCAGAAAUAAGCUAGUACAAUUUAGAAAAAUAGCGAAUCGAAAAAUUGCAGAGAAGCAACUCUUGUGUAAAACACUUUUCUUCAGAUUUCUUAAGAGACACGAGCCACUUAUCAUUGAAAUUCAAAAGCUCUUGUACAAUUUCAGAACAAAGUGCUAUUACUGAAACAAUGAUUCAAGUGAAGAAAUUUGGCCAUUUCCCUUGUACAAUUAGGUCACAAAUACUCAAGCCUAAUAAUUAGAGGUACACNNNNNNNNNNNNNNNNNNNNNNNNNNNNNNNNNNNNNNNNNNNNNNNNNNNNNNNNNNNNNNNNNNNNNNNNNNNNNNNNNNNNNNNNNNNNNNNNNNNNNNNNNNNNNNNNNNNNNNNNNNNNNNNNNNNNNNNNNNNNNNNNNNNNNNNNNNNNNNNNNNNNNNNNNNNNNNNNNNNNNNNNNNNNNNNNNNNNNNNNNNNNNNNNNNNNNNNNNNNNNNNNNNNNNNNNNNNNNNNNNNNNNNNNNNNNNNNNNNNNNNNNNNNNNNNNNNNNNNNNNNNNNNNNNNNNNNNNNNNNNNNNNNNNUAAAAAAAUUCCUACGCACACGCAAGAUCAUGGUGAUGCAUAGCACCGAGAGGGGAGAGUGUUGUCCACGUACCCUCGUAGACCGAAAGCGGAAGCGUUACACAACGCGGUUGAUGUAGUCGUACGUCUUCACGAUCCGACCGAUCAAGUACCGAACGUACGGCACCUCCGAGUUCAGCACACGUUCAGCUCGAUGACGUCCCUCGAACUCCGAUCUAGCCGAGUGUUGAGGGAGAGUUUCGUCAGCACGACGGCGUGGUGACGAUGAUGAUGUUCUACCGGCGCAGGGCUUCGCCUAAGCACCGCUACGAUAUUAUCGAGGUGGAUUAUGGUGGAGGGGGGCACCGCACACGGCUAAAAGAUCAAUGAUCAAUUGUUGUAAAUCAACUGCUCCUCCAGAAUGGCUGGUAAUACCACUUAAGGGCGGAUAGACUGUCCACCCAGUGCCGCUGCCCACUUCUACUAAGGUGUCUAUGGGGUGCCCCCCUGCCCCCGUAUAUAAAGGAGCAAGGGGGUGGAGAGGCGGCCGGCCAGGAGGGGGCGCGCCAGGAGGAGUCCUACUCCCACCGGGAGUAGGACUCCCUCCCUUCCUUGUUGGAUUAGGAGAAGGGGGGAAGGAGGAGGGAGAGAGGAAGGAAAGGGGGGGGCGCACCCCUCCUUGUCCAAUUCGGACUAGAGGGGGAGGGGGCACGCGGCCUGCCCUGGCUGCCCCUCCUCUUCUCCACUAAGGCCCAUGUAGGCCAAUUAAACCCCCGGGGGUGUUCCGGUAACCCCCGGUACUCCGGUAUAUAUCCGAUAACCCCCGGAACCAUUCCGGUGUCCGAAUAUAGUCGUCCAAUAUAUCAAUCUUCAUGUCUCGACCAUUUCGAGACUCCUCGUCAUGUCCGUGAUCCCAUCCGGGACUCCGAACUACCUUCGGUACAUCAAAACAUAUAAACUCAUAAUAUAACUGUCAUCGAAACUUUAAGCGUGUGGAACCUACGGGUUCGAGAACUAUGUAGACAUGACCGAGACACGUCUCCGGCCAAUAACCAAUAGCGGAACCUGGAUGCUCAUAUUGGCUCCCACAUAUUCUACGAAGAUCUUUAUCGGUCAAACCGCAUAACAACAUACGUUGUUCCCUUUGUCAUCGGUAUGUUACUUGCCCGAGAUUCGAUCGUCGGUAUCUCAAUACCUAGUUCAAUCUCGUUACCUACAAGUCUCUUUACUCGUUCUGUAAUACAUCAUCCCGCAACUAACUCGUUAGUUGCAAUGCUUGCAAGGCUUAUGUGAUGUGCAUUACUGAGUGGGCCCUAGAGAUACCUCUCCGACAAUCGGAGUGACAAAUCCUAAUCUCGAAAUACGCCAACCCAACAAGUACCUUUGGAGACACCUGUAGAGCACCUUUAUAAUCACCCAGUUAUGUUGUGAUGUUUGGUAGCACACAAAGUGUUCCUCCGGUAAACGGGAGUUGCAUAAUCUCAUAGUCAUAGGAACAUGUAUAAGUCAUGAAGAAAGCAAUAGCAGAAUACUAAACGAUCGUGUGCUAAGCUAACAGAAUGGGUCAAGUCAAUCACAUCAUUCUCCUAAUGAUGUGAUCCCGUUAAUCAAAUGACAACUCAUGUCUAUGGCUAGGAAACAUAACGAUCAACGAGCUAGUCAAGUAGAGGCAUACUAGAGACACUAUGUAUGUCUAUGUAUUCACACAAGUAUUAUGUUUCCGGUUAAUACAAUUCUAGCAUGAAUAAUAAACAUUUAUCAUGAUAUAAGGAAAUAAAUAAUAACUUUAUUAUUGCCUCUAGGGCAUAUUUCCUUCAGUCUCCCGCUUACACUAGAGUCAAUAAUCUAGAUUACAUAGUAAUGAUUCUAACACCCAUGGAGCCUUGGUACUGAUCAUGUUUUGCUCGUGGAAGAGGCUUAGUCAACGGGUCUGCAACAUUCAGAUCCGUAUGUAUCUUGCAAAUUUCUAUGUCUCCCACCUGGACUAGAUCCCGGAUGGAAUUGAAGCGUCUCUUGAUGUGCUUGGUUCUCUUGUGAAAUCUGGAUUCCUUCGCCAAGGCAAUAGCACCAGUAUUGUCACAAAAGAUUCUCAUUGGACCCGAUGCACUAGGUAUGACACCUAGAUCAGAUAUGAACUCCUUCAUCCAGACUCCUUCAUUUGCUGCUUCCGAAGCAGCUAUGUACUCCGCUUCACACGUAGAUCCCGCCACAACGCUUUGUUUAGAACUGCACCAACUGACAGCUCCACCGUUCAAUGUAAACACGUAUCCGGUUUGCGAUUUAGAAUCGUCCGGAUCAGUGUCAAAGCUUGCAUCGACGUAACCAUUUAUGACUAGCUCUUUGUCACCUCCAUAUACGAGAAACAUUCCUUAGUCCUUUUCAGGUAUUUCAGGAUGUUCUUGACCGCUGUCUAGUGAUCCACUCUUGGAUUACUUUGGUACCUCCCUGCUAAACUUAUAGCAAGGCACACAUCAGGUCUGGUACACAGCAUUGCAUACAUGAUAGAGCCUAUGGCUAAAGCAUAGGGAACAUCUUUCAUCUUCUCUCUAUCUUCUGCAGUGGUCGGGCAUUGAGUCUUACUCAACUUCACACCUUGUAACACAGGCAAGAACCCUUUCUUUGCUUGAUCCAUUUUGAACUUCUUCAAAACUUUGUCAAGGUAUGUGCUUUGUGAAAGUCCAAUUAAGCGUCUUGAUCUAUCUCUCUAGAUCUUGAUGCCCAAUAUAUAAGCAACUUCACUGAGGUCCUUCAUUGAAAAACUCUUAUUCAAGUAUCCCUUUAUGCUAUCCAGAAAUUCUAUAUCAUUUCCAAUCAGUAAUAUGUCAUCUACAUAUAAUAUCAGAAAUGUUACAGAGCUCCCACUCACUUUCUUGUAAAUACAGGCUUCUCCAAAAGUCUGUAUAAAACCAAAUGCUUUGAUCACACUAUCAAAGCGUUUAUUCCAACUCCGAGAGGCUUGCACCAGUCCAUAAAUGGAUCGCUGGAGCUUGCACACUUUGUUAGCUCCUUUUGGAUCGACAAAACCUUCCGGUUGCAUCAUAUACAACUCUUCUUCCAGAAAUCCAUUCAGGAAUGCAGUUUUGACAUCCAUUUGCCAAAUUUCAUAAUCAUAAAAUGCGGCAAUUGGUAACAUGAUUCAGACAGACUUAAGCAUCGCUACGGGUGAGAAAGUCUCAUCGUAGUCAAUCCCUUGAACUUGUCGAAAACCUUUCGCAACAAGUCGAGCUUUAUAGACAGUAACAUUACCGUCAGCGUCAGUCUUCUUCUUCAAGAUCCAUUUAUUCUCAAUGGCUUGCCGAUCAUCGGGCAAGUCAACCAACGCCCACACUUUGUUCUCAUACAUGGAUCCCAUCUCAGAUUUCAUGGCCUCAAGCCAUUUUGCGGAAUCUGGGCUCACCAUCGCUUCUUCAUAGUUCGUAGGUUCAUCAUGGUCUAGUAACAUGACUUUCAGAACAGGAUUACCGUACCACUCUGGCGCGGAUCUUACUCUGGUUGAUCUACGAGGUUCAGUAACAACUUGAUCUGAAGUUUCAUGAUCAUCAUCAUUAACUUCCUCACUAAUUGGUGUACGUGUCAUAGAAACCGGUUUAUGUGAUGAACUGCUUUCCAAUAAGGGAGCAGGUACAAUUACCUCAUCAAGUUCUACUUUCCUCCCACUCACUUCUUUCGAGAGAAACUCCUUCUCUAGAAAGAUUCCAAAUUUAGCAACAAAAGUCUUGCCUUCGGAUCUGUGAUAGAAGGUGUACCCAACAGUCUUUUUUGGGUAUCCUAUGAAGACACAUUUUUCCGAUUUGGGUUCGAGCUUAUCAGGUUGAAGCUUUUUCACAUAAGCAUCGCAGCCCCAAACUUUAAGAAACGACAACUUUGGUUUCUUGCCAAACCACAGUUCAUAAGGCGUCGUCUCAACGGAUUUCGAUGGUGUCCUAUUUAACGUGAAUGCAGCCAUCUCUAAAGCAUAACCCCAAAACGAUAGCGGUAAAUCAGUAAGAGACAUCAUAGAUCGCACCAUAUCUAGUAAAGUACGAUUACGACGUUCGGACACACCAUUACGCUGUGGUGUUCCGGGUGGCGUGAGUUGCGAAACUAUUCCGCAUUCUUUCAAAUGAAGACCAAACUCGUAACUCAAAUAUUCUCCUCCACGACCUGAUCGUAGAAACCUUAUUUUCUUGUUACGAUGAUUUUCAACUUCACUCUGAAAUUCUUUGAACUUUUCAAAUGUUUCAGACAUAUGUUUCAUUAAUUAGAUAUACCUAUAUCUGCUCAAAUCAUCUGUGAAGGUGAGAAAAUAACGAUAUCCGCCGCGAGCCUCAACAUUCAUCGGACCACAUACAUCUGUAUGUAUGAUUUCCAACAAAUCUAUUGCUCACUCCAUAGUUCCGGAGAACGGCGUUUCAGUCAUCUUGCCCAUGAGGCACGGUUCGCAAGUACCAAGUGAUUCAUAAUCAAGUGGUUCCAAAAGUCCAUCAGUAUUGAGUUUCUGCAUGCGCUUUACACCGAUAUGACCUAAACGGCAGUGCACAAAUAAGUUGCACUAUCAUUAUUGAAGGAAAUAUGCCCUAGAGGCAAUAAUAAAGUUAUUAUUUAUUUCCUUAUAUCAUGAUAAAUGUUUAUUAUUCAUGCUAGAAUUGUAUUAACCGGUAACAUGAUACAUGUGUGAAUACAUAGACAAACAGAGUGUCACUAGUAUGCCUCUACAUGACUAGCUCGUUGAUCAAAUAUGGUUAUGUUUCCUAGCCAUAGAUAUGAGUUGUCAUUUGAUUAACGGGAUCAUAUCAUUAGGAGAAUGAUGUGAUUGACUUGACCCAUUCCGUUAGCUUAGCACACGAUCGUUUAGUAUUCUACUAUUGCUUUCUUCAUGACUUAUACAUGUUCCUAUGACUAUGAGAUUAUGCAACUCCCGUAUACCGGAGGAACACUUUGUGUGCUACCAAACGUCACAACGUAACUGGGUGAUUAUAAAGGUGCUCUACAGGUGCUUCCAAAGGUACUUGUUGGGUUGGCGUAUUUCAAGAUUAGGAUUUGUCACUCCGAUUGUCGGAGAGGUAUCUCUGGGCCCACUCAGUAAUGCACAUCACUAUAAGCCUUGCAAGCAUUGUAACUAAGUAGUUAGUUGCGGGAUGAUGUAUUACAGAACGAGUAAAGAGACUUGCCGGUAACGAGAUUGAACUAGGUAUUGAGAUACCAACGAUCGAAUCUCGGGCAAGUAACAUACCGAUGACAAAGGGAACAACGUAUGUUGUUAUGCGGCCUGACCGAUAAAGAUCUCCAUAGAAUAUGUGGGAGCCAAUAUGAGCAUCCAGGUUCCACUAUUGGUUAUUGACCGGAGACGUGUCUCGGUCAUGUCUACAUAGUUCUCGAACCCGUAGGGUCCGCACGCUUAAAGUUCGAUGACGGUUAUAUUAUGAAUUUAUGUGUUUUGAUGUACCGACGGUAGUUCGGAGUCCCGGAUGAGAUCAGGCACAUGACGAGGAGUCUCGAAAUGGUCGAGACGUAAAGAUCGAUAUAUUGGACGACUAUAUUUGGACAUCGGAAAGGUUCCGAGUGAUUCGGGUAUUUUUCGGAGUACCGGAGAGUUACGGAAAUUCGUAUUGGGCCUUAAUGGGCCAUACGGGAAAGGAGAGAAAGGCCCCAAAGGGUGGCCACACCCCUCCCCAUGGACUAGUCCGAAUUGGACUAGGGAGGGGGGGCGCCCCCUUCCUUCCUUCUCCUUCUCCCUUCCCUUCUCCUACUCCAACAAGGAAAGGAGGAGUCCUACUCCCGGUGGGAGUAGGACUCCCCACCUUGGCGCGCCCUCCUCCUUGGCUGGCCGCCUCCCCCUUGCUCCUUUAUAUACAGGGGCAGGGGGGCACCCCAUAGACACAACAAUUGAUCUCUUGAUCUCUUAGCCGUGUGCGGUGCCCCCUUCCACCAUAAUCCACCUCGAUUAUAUCGUAGCGGUGCUGAGGCGAAGCCCUUCGUCGGUAGAACAUCAUCAUCGUCACCACGCCGUCGUGCUAAUGAACUCUCCCUCAAAGCUCGGCUGGAUCGGAGUUCGAGGGACGUCAUCGAGUUGAACGUGUGCAGAACUCGGAGGUGCCGUGCGUUCGGUAAUUGAUCGGUCGGAUCGUGAAGACGUACGACUACAUCAACCGCGUUGUGCUAACGCUUCCGCUUUCGGUCUACGAGGGUAUGUAGACACACUCUCCCCUCUCGGUGCUAUGCAUCACCAUGAUCUUGCGUGUGCGUAGAAUUUUUUUGAAAUUACUACGUUCCCCAACAGUGGUAUCUGAGCCAGGUUUUAUGCGUAGAUGUCAUAUGCACGAGUAGAACACAAGUGAGUUGUGGGCGAUAUAAGUCAUACUGCUUACCAGCAUGUCAUACUUUGGCUCGGCGGUAUUGUUGGAUGAAGCGGCCCGGACCGACAUUACGCGUACGCUUACGCGAGACUGGUUCCUCCGACGUGCUUUGCACAGAGGUGGCUGGCGGGUGUCAAUUUCUUCAACUUUAGUUGAACCGAGUGUGGCUACGCCCGGUCCUUGCGAAGGUUAAAACAGCACCAAGUUGACAAACUAUCAUUGUGUUUUUGAUGCGUAGGUAAGAACGGUUCUUGCUAAGCCCGUAGCAGCCACGUAAAACUUGCAAUAACAAAGUAGAGGACGUCUAACUUGUUUUUGCAGGGCAUGUUGUGAUGUGAUAUGGUCAAAGCAUGAUGCUAAAUUUAUUGUAUGAGAUGAUCAUGUUUUGUAACCGAGUUAUCGGCAACUGGCAGGAGCCAUAUGGUUGUCGCUUUAUUGUAUGCAAUGCAAUCGCCCUAUAAUGCUUUACUUUAUCACUAAGCGGUAGCGAUAGUCGUAGAAGCAUAAGAUUGGCGAGACGACAACGAUGCUACGAUGGAGAUCAAGGUGUCGCGCCGGUGACGAUGGUGAUCAUGACGGUGCUUCGGAGAUGGAGAUCACAAGCACAAGAUGAUGAUGGCCAUAUCAUAUCACUUAUAUUGAUUGCAUGUGAUGUUUAUCUUUUAUGGAUCUUAUCUUGCUUUGAUUGACGGUAGCAUUAUAAGGUGAUCCCUCACUAAAUUAUCAAAGUAUAAGUGUUCUCCCUGAGUAUGCACCAUUGCGAAAGUUCUUCGUGCUGAGACACCACGUGAUGAUCAGGUGUGAUAGGCUCUACGUUCAAAUACAACGGGUGCAAAACAGUUGCACACGUGGAAUACUCAGGUUAAACUUGACGAGCCUAGCAUAUAACAGAUAUGGCCUCGGAACACGGAGACCGAAAGGUCGAGCGUGAAUCAUAUAGUAGAUAUGAUCAACAUAGUGAUGUUCACCAUUGAAACUACUCCAUCUCACGUGAUGAUCGGACAUGGUUUAGUUGAUAUGGAUCACGUGAUCACUUAAUUGAACUUAAAUUUAUCAUGAACUUAGUCCUGAUAGUAUUUUGCAAAUUAUGUUGUAGAUCAAUAGCUCGCGUUGUUGCUUCCCUGUGUUUAUUUUUGAUAUGUUCCUAGAGAAAAAUUAUGUUGAAAGAUGUUAGUAGCAAAGAUGCGGAUUGGAUCCGUGAUCUGAGGAUUAUCCUCAUUGCUGCACAGAAGAAUUAUGUCCUUGAUGCACUGCUAGGUGACAGACCUAUUGCAGGAGCAGAUGCAGACGUUAUGAACGUUUGGCUAGCUCAAUAUGAUGACCACUUGAUAGUUUAGUGCACCAUGCUUAACGGCUUAGAAUCGGGACUUCAAAGACGUUUUGAACGUCAUGGACCAUAUGAGAUGUUCCAGGAGUUGAAGUUAAUAUUUCAAGCAAAUACCCGAGUUGAGAGAAAUGAAGUCUCCAACAAGUUCUAUAGCUAAAAGAAGGAGGAGAAUAGCUCAAGCAGUGAGCAUGUGCUCAGAUUGUCUGGGUACUACAAUCGCUUGAAUCAAGUGGGAGUUAAUCUUCCAGAUAAAAUAAUGAUUGACAGAAAUCUCUAGUCACCAUCACCAAGUUAGUAGAACUUCGUGAUGAACUAUAGUAUGCAAGGGAUGACGAAAGUUAUUCCCGAGCUCUUCGUGAUGCUGAAAUCGACGAAGGUAGAAAUCAAGAAAAACAUCAAGUGUUGAUGGUUGACGAGACCACUAGUUUCAAGAAAAGGGCAAAGGGAAGAAGGGGAACUUCAAGAAGAACGGCAAGCAAGUUGCUGCUCAAGUGAAGAAGCCUAAGUCUGGUCCUAAGCCUGAGACUAAGUGCUUCUACUGCAAAGGGACUGGUCACUGGAAGCGGAACUACCCCAAGUAUUUGGUGGAUAAGAAGGAUGGCAAAGUGAACAAAGGUAUAUUGGAUAUACAUGUUAUUGAUGUGUACUUUACUAGUGUUUAUAGCAACCCCUCGGCAUUUGAUACUGGUUCAGUUGCUAAGAGUAGUAACUCGAAAUGGGAGUUGCAGAAUAAACAGAGACUAGUAAAAGGCGAGGUGACGAUGUGUGUUGGAAGGAGUUCCAAGAUUGAUAUGAUCAUCAUCGCACACUCCCUAUACUUUCGGGAUUAGUGUUGAAACUAAAUAAGUGUUAUUUGGUGUUUGCGUUGAGCAUGAAUAUGAUUUGAUCAUGUUUGUUGCAAUACGGUUAUUCAUUUAAAUUAGAGAAUAAUUGUUGUUCUGUUUACAUGAAUAAAACCUUCUAUGGGCAUACACCCAAUAAAAUGGUUUGUUGGAUCUCGAUCGUAGUGAUACACAUAUUCAUAAUAAUGAAGCCAAAAGAUGCAAAGUUAAUAAUGAUAGUGCAACUUAUUUGUGGCACUGCCGUUUAGGUCAUAUUGGUGUAAAGCGCAUGAAGAAACUCCAUACUGAUGGGAUUUUGGAAUCACUUGAUUAUGAAUCACUUGAUGCUUGCGAACCGUGCCUCAUGGGCAAGAUGACUAAAACGCCGUUCUCUGGAACUAUGGAGAGAGCAACAGAUUUGUUGGAAAUCAUACAUACAGAUGUAUGUGGUCCGAUGAAUAUUGAGGCUCGUAGCAGGUAUCAUUAUUUUCUGACCUUCACAGAUGAUUUGAGCAGAUAUGGGUAUAUCUACUUAAUGAAACAGAAGUCUGAAACAUUUGAAAAGUUCAUAUAAUUUCAGAGUGAAGUGGAAAAUCAUCGUAACAAGAAAAUAAAGUUUCUACGAUCUGAUCAUGGAGAAGAGUAUUUGAGUUACGAGUUUGGCCUUCAGUUAAAACAAUGUGAAAUAGUUUCACUACUCACGCCACCUGGAACACCACAGUGUAAUGGUGUGUCCGAACAUCGUAACCGUACUUUAUUAGAUAUGGUGCGAUAUAUGAUGUCUCUUACCGAUCUACCACUAUCGUUUUGGGGUUAUGCAUUAGAGACAGCUGCAUUCACGUUAAAUAGGGGACCAUCUAAAUCCGUUGAGACGACAUCUUAUGAACUGUGGUUUGGCAAGAAACCAAAGUUGUCGUUUCUUAAAAUUUGGGGUUGCGAUGCUUAUGUGAAAAAGUUUCAUCCUGAUAAGCUCAAACCCAAAUCGGAGAAAUGUGUCUUCAUAGGAUACCCAAAGGAGACAGUUGGGUACACCUUCUAUCACAGAUCCGAAGGCAAGACAUUCGUUGCUAAGAAUGGAUCCUUUCUAGAGAAGGACUUUCUCUCGAAAAAAGUGAGUGGGAGGAAAGUAGAACUUGAUGAGGUAAUUGUACAUGCUCCCUUAUUGGAAAGUAGUUCAUCGCAGAAACCAGUUUCUGUGACGCCUAUACCAAUUAGUGAGGAAGUUAAUGAUGAUGAUCAUGGAACUUCAGAUCAAGUUAUUACUGAACCUCGUAGGUCAACCAGAGUAAGAUCCGCACCAGAGUGGUACGGUAAUCCUGUUCUAGAGGUUAUGUUACUAGACCAUGACGAACCUACAAACUAUGAAGAAGCGAUGGUAAGCCCAGAUUCCGCAAAAUGGCUUGAGGCCAUGAAAUCUGAGAUGAGAUCCAUGUAUGAGAACAAAGUAUGGACUUUGAUUGACUUGCCCAAUGAUCGGCGAGCCAUUGAGAUUAAAUGGAUCUUCAAGAGGAAGACGGACGCUGAAAGUAGUGUUACUAUCUACAAAGCUAGAAUCGUCGCAAAAGGUUUUUGACAAGUUUAAGGUGUUGACUACGAUGAGAGUUUCUCACUCGUAUCUAUGCUUAAGUCUGUCCGAAUCAUGUUAACAAUUGCCGCAUUUUAUGAAAUCUGGCAAAUGGAUAAACAAAACUGCAUUCCUUAAUGGAUUAAUUAAAAAAGAGUUGUAUAUGAUGCAACCAGAAGGUUUUGUCAAUCCUAAAGGUGCUAACAAAAUAUGCAAGCUCCAGUGAUCCAUCUAUGGACUGGUGCAAGCAUCUCGGAGUUGGAAUAUACGCUUUGAUAAGUUGAUCAAAGGAUAUAGUUUUAUACAGACUUGCGGUGAAGCCUGUAUUUACAAGAAAGUGAGUGGGAGCACUACAACAUUUCUGAUAAGUAUAUGUGAAUGACAUAUUGUUGAUCGGAAAUAAUGUAGAAUUAUUCUGCAAAGCAUAAAGGAGUGUUUGAAAGGAGUUUUUCAAAGAAAGACCUCAGUGAAGCUGCUUACAUAUUGAGCAUCAAGAUCUAUAGAGAUAGAUCAAGACGCUUGAUAAGUUUUUUCAAUGAGUACAUACCUUAACAGGAUUUUGAAGUGGUUCAAAAUGGAACAGUCAAAGAAAGAGUUCUUGCCUGUGUUACAAGGUGUGAAAUUGAGUAAGACUCAAAGCCCGACCACGGCAGAAGAUAGAAAGAGAAUGAAAGUCAUUCCCUAUGCCUCGGCCAUAGGUUCUAUAAAGUAUGCCAUGCUGUGUACCACAUCUAUUGUAUACCCUACACUGAUUUUGGCAAGGGAGUACAAUAGUGAUCUAGGAGUAGAUUACUGGACAGCGGUCAAAAUUAUCCUUAGUGGAAUAAGAAUAUGUUUCUCGAUUAUGGAAGUGACAAAAGGUUCGUCGUAAAGGGUUACGUCAAUGCAAGUUUUGACACUAAUCUAGAUGACUCUAGGUCUCGGUCUAGAUACAUAUUGAAAGUGGGAGCAAGUAGCUAGAGUAGCUCCGUGCAGAGCAUUGUAGACAUAGAAAUUUGCAAAAUACUUACGGAUCUGAAUGUGACAGACCCGUUGACUAAAAUUAUCUCACAAGCAAAACAUGAUCACACCUUAGUACUCUUUGGGUGUUAAUCACAUAGCGAUGUGAACUAGAUUAUUGACUCUAGUAAACCCUUUGGGUGUUAGUCACAUAACGAUGUGAACUAUGGGUGUUAAUCACAUGGUGAUGUGAACUAUUGAUGUUAAAUCACAUGGCGAUGUGAACUAGAUUAUUGACUCUAGUGCAAGUGGGAGACUCAAGGAAAUAUGCCCUAGAGGCAAUAAUAAAGUUAUUAUUUAUUUCCUUAUAUCAUGGUAAAUGUAUUAACCGGAAACAUGAUACAUGUGUGAAUACAUAGACAAACAGAGUGUCACUAGUAUGCCUCUACUUGACUAGCUCGUUGAUCAAAGAUGGUUAUGUUUCCUAGCCAUAGACAUGAGUUGUCAUUUGAUUAACGGGAUCAUAUCAUUAGGAGAAUGAUGUGAUUGACUUGACCCAUUCCGUUAGCUUAGCACACGAUCGUUUAGUAUUCUACUAUUGCUUUCUUCAUGACUUAUACAUGUUCCUAUGACUAUGAGAUUAUGCAACUCCCGUUUACCGGAGGAACACUUUGUGUGCUACCAAACGUCACAACGUAACUGGGUGAUUAUAAAGGUGCUCUACAGGUGUCUCCAAAGGUACUUGUUGGGUUGGCGUAUUUUGAGAUUAGAAUUUGUCACUCCGAUUCUCGGAGAGGUAUCUCUAGGGCCCACUCGGUAAUGCACAUCACUAUAAGCCUUGCAAGCAUUGUAACUAAGGAGUUAGUUGCGGCAUGAUGUAUUACAGAACGAGUAAAGAGACUUGCCGGUAACGAGAUUGAACUAGGUAUUGAGACACCGACGAUCGAAUCUCGGGCAAGUAACAUACCGAUGACAAAGGGAACAACGUAUGUUGUUAUGCGGUCUGACCGAUAAAGAUCUUCGUAGAAUAUGUGGGAGCCAAUAUGAGCAUCCAGGUUCCGCUAUUGGUUAUUGACCGGAGACGUGUCUCGGUCAUUUCUACAUAGUUCUCGAACCCGUAGGGUCCGCACGCUUAAAGUUCGAUGACGGUUAUAUUAUGAGUUUAUGUGUUUUGAUGUACCGAAGCUAGUUCGGAGUCCUGGAUGAGAUCAGGGACAUGACGAGGAGUCUCGAAAUGGUCGAGACGUAAAGAUCGAUAUAUUGGACGACUAUAUUCGGACAUCGGAAAGGUUCUGAGUGAUUCGGGUAAUUUUUGGAGUACCGGAGAGUUACGGGAAUUCGUAUUGGGCCUUAAUGGGCCAUACGGGAAAGGAGAGAAAGGCCCCAAAGGGUGGCCGCACCCCUCCCCAUGGACUAGUCCGAAUUGGACUAGGGAGGGGGGGCGCCCCCUUCCUCCCUUCUCCUUCUCCCUUCCCUUCUCCUACUCCAACAAGGAAAGGAGGAGUCCUACUCUCACUGGGAGUAGGACUCCCCCCCUUGGCGCGCCCUCCUCCUUGGCCGGCCGCCUCCCCCCUUGCUCCUUUAUAUACGGGGCAGGGGGGCACCCCAUAGACACAACAAUUGAUCUCUUGAUCUCUUAGCCGUGUGCGGUGCCCCCCUCCACCAUAAUCCACCUCGAUUAUAUCGUAGCGGUGCUUAGGCGAAGCCCUGCGUCGGUAGAACAUCAUCAUCGUCACCACGCCGUCGUGCUGACGGAACUCUCCCUCAAAGCUCGGCUGGAUCGGAGUUCGAGGGAUGUCAUCGAGUUGAACGUGUGCAGAACUCGGAGGUGCCGUGCGUUCGGUACUUGAUCGGUCGGAUCGUGAAGACGUACGACUACAUCAACCGCGUUGUGCUAACGCUUCCGCUUUCGGUCUACGAGGGUACGUAGACACACUCUCCCCUCUCGUUGCUAUGCAUCACCAUGAUCUUGUGUGUGCGUAGAAUUUUUUUGAAAUUACUACGUUCCCCAACAAUUAUCAACUCUGCAUCUUUUGGCUUCAAUAUUAUGAAUAUGUGUAUCACUACUAUCGAGAUUCAAUAAAAAUAGACCACUGUUCAAGGGUGCAUGACCAUAAAAGAUAUUACUCAUAUAAAUAGAACAACCAUUAUUCUCUGAUUUAAAUGAAUAACCGUCUCGCAUCAAACAAGAUCCAGAUAUAAUGUUCAUGCUCAACGCUGGCACCAAAUAACAAUUAUUCAGGUCUAAAACUAAUCCCGAAGGUAGAUGUAGAGGUAGCGUCCUGAUCGCGAUCACAUCGACUUUGGAACCAUUUCCCACGCGCAUCGUCACCUCGUCCUUAGCCAAUCUUCGCUUAAUCCGUAGUCCCUGUUUCGAGUUGCAAAUAUUAGCAACAUAACCAGUAUCAAAUACCUAGGUGCUACUGCGAGCAUUAGUAAGGUACACAUCAAUAAUAUGUAUAUCACAUAUACCUUUGUUCACCUUGCCAUCCUUCUUAUCCACCAAAUACUUGGGGCAGUUCCGCUUCCAGUGACCAGUCUGUUUGCAGUAGAAGCACUCAAUCUCAGGCUUAGGUCCAGACUUGGGUUUCUUCUCCUGAGUAGCAACUUGUUUGCUGUUCUUCUUGAAGUUCCCCUUCUUCUUCCCUUUGCCCUUUUUCUUGAAACUGGUGGUCUUGUUGACCAUCAACACUUGAUGCUCCUUCUUGAUAUCUACCUCCGCAGCCUUUAAUAUUGCAAAGAGCUCGGGAAUUGUCUUAUCCAUCCGUUGCAUGUUAUAGUUCAUCACGAAGCUCUUGUAGCUUGGUGGCAGUGAUUGAAGAAUUCUGUCAAUGACGCUAUCAUCUGGAAGAUUAACUCCCAGUUGAAUCAAGUGAUUGUUAUACCCAGACAUUUUGAGUAUAUGCUCACUGACAGAACUAUUCUCCUCCAUCUUACAGCUGUAGAACUUAUUGGAGACUUCAUAUCUCUCAAUCCGGGCAUUUGCUUGAAAUAUUAACUUCAACUCCUGGAACAUCUCAUAUGCUCCAUGACGUUCAAAACGUCGUUGAAGUCCCGGUUCUAGGCUGUAAAGCAUGGCACACUGAACUAUCGAGUAGUCAUCAGCUUUGCUCUGCUAGACGUUCGUAACAUCUGUUGUUGCUCCUGCAGCAGGUUUGGCACCUAGUGCUGCUUCCAGGACGUAAUUCUUCUGUGCAGCAAUGAGGAUAAUCCUCAAGUUACGGACCCAGUCCGUGUAAUUGCUACCAUCAUCUUUGAACUUUGCUUUCUCAAGGAACGCAUUAAAAUUCAACGGUACAAUAGCACGGGCCAUCUAUCUACAACAACAUAGACAAGCAAGAUACUAUCAGGUACUAAGUUCAUGAUAAAUUUAAGUUCAAUUAAUCAUAUUACUUAAGAACUCCCACUUAGAUAGACAUCCCUCUAAUCCUCUAAGUGAUCACGUGAUCCAUAUCAACUAAACCAUGUCCGAUCAUCACGUGAGAUGGAGUAGUUUCAAUGGUGAACAUCACUAUGUUGAUCAUAUCUACUGUAUGAUUCACGCUCGACCUUUCGGUCUCCGUGUUCCGAGGCCAUAUCUGUUAUAUGCUAGGCUCGUCAAGUUUAACCUAAGUAUUCCGCGCGUGCAACUAUUUUGCACCCGUUGUAUUUGAACGUAGAGCCUAUCACACCCGAUCAUCACGUGGUGUCUCAGCACGAAGAACUUUCGCAACGGUGCAUACUCAGGGAGAACACUUAUACCUUGAUAAUUUAGUGAGAGAUCAUCUUAUAAUGCUACCGUCAAUCAAAGCAAGAUAAGAUGCAUAAAAGAUAAACAUCACAUGCAAUCAAUAUAAGUGAUAUGAUAUGGCCAUCAUCAUCUUGUGCUUGUGAUCUCCAUCUCUGAAGCACCGUCAUGAUCACCAUCGUCACCGGCGCGACACCUUGAUCUUCAUCGUAGCAUCAUUGUCGUCUCGCCAAUCUUAUGCUUCUACAACUAUCGCUACUGCUUAGUGAUAAAGUAAAGCAUUAUAGGGCGAUUGCAUUGCAUACAAUAAAGCGACAACCAUAUGGCUCCUGCCAGUUGCCGAUAACUCGGUUACAAAACAUGAUCAUCUCAUACAAUAAAAUUUAGCAUCAUGCCUUGACCAUAUCACAUCACAACAUGCCUUGCAAAAACAAGUUAGACGUCCUCUACUUUGUUGUUGCAAGUUUUACGUGGCUGUUAUGGGCUGAGCAAGAACCGUUCUUACCUAUGCAUCAAAACCACAAUGAUAGUUUGUCAAGUUGGUACUGUUUUAACCUUCGCAAGGACCCGGCGUAGCCACACUCGGUUCAACUAAAGUUGGAGAAACUGACACCCGCCAGCCACCUGUGUGCAAAGCACGACGGUAGAACCAGUCUCGCGUAAGCGUACGCGUAAUGUCGGUCUGGGCCGAUUCAUCCAACAAUACCGCCAAACCAAAGUGUGACAUGCUGGUACGCAGUAUGACUUAUAUCGCCCACAACUCACUUGUGUUCUACUCGUGCAUAUUACAUCAACGCAUAAAACCUGGCUCGAAUGCCACUGUUGGGGAACGUAGUAAUUUCAAAAAAUUUCCUACGCACACGCAAGAUCAUGGUGAUGCAUAGCAACGAGAGGGGAGAGUGUUGUCCACGUACCCUCAUAGACCGAAAGCGGAAGCGUUAGCACAAUGUGGUUGAUGUAGUCGCAUGUCUUCACGAUCCGACCGAUCAAGUACCGAACGUACGGCACCUCCGAGUUCAGCACACGUUCGGCUCGAUGACGUCCCUCCAACUCCGAUCCAGCCGAGUGUUGAGACAGAGUUUCGUCAGCACGACGGCGUGGUGACGAUGAUGAUGUUCUACCAACGCAGGCUUCGCCUAAGCACCGCUACGAUAUUAUCAAGGUGGAUUAUGGUGGAGAAGGGGGGGAGAGGCGGCCGGCCAGGAGGGGGCGAAGCAGGAGGAGUCCUACUCCCACCGGGAGUAGGACUCCCUCCCUUCCUUGUUGGAUUAGGAGAAGGGGGGAAGGAGGAGGGAGAGAGGAAGGAAAGGGGGGCGCCGCCCCCUCCUUGUCCAAUUCGAACUAGAGGGGAAGGGGGCGCGCGGCCUGCCCUGGCCGCCCCUCCUCUUCUCCACUAAGGCCCAUGUAGGCCCAUUAAACCCCGGGGGGGGGGGGGGUUCCGGUAACCCCCGGUACUCCGGUAUAUAUCCGAUAACCCCCGGAACCAUUCCGGUGUCCGAAUAUAGUCGUCCAAUAUAUCAAUCUUCAUGUCUCGACCAUUUCGAGACUCCUCGUCAUGUCCGUGAUCACAUCCGGGACUCCGAACUACCUUCGGUACAUCAAAACAUAUAAACUCAUAAUAUAGCUGUCAUCGAAACUUUAAGCGUGCGGACCCUAUGGGUUCGAGAACUAUGUAGACAUGACCGAGACAUGUCUCCGGCCAAUAACCAAUAGCGGAACCUGGAUGCUCAUAUUGGCUCCCACAUAUUCUACGAAGAUCUUUAUCGGUCAAACCGCAUAACAACAUACGUUGUUCCCUUUGUCAUCGGUAUGUUACUUGCCCGAGAUUCGAUCGUCGGUAUCUCAAUACCUAGUUCAAUCUCGUUACCAGAAAGUCUUUACUCGUUCUGUAAUACAUCAUCCCACAACUAACUCGUUAGUUGCAAUGCUUGCAAGGCUUAUGUGAUGUGCAUUACCGAGUGGGCCCUAGAGAUACCUCUCCGAGAAUCGGAGUGACAAAUUCUAAUCUCAAAAUACGCCAACCCAACAAGUACCUUUGGAGACACCUAUAGAGCACCUUUAUAAUCACCCAGUUACGUUGUGACGUUUGGUAGCACACAAAGUGUUCCUCCGGUAAACGGGAGUUGCAUAAUCUCAUAGUCAUAGGAACAUGUAUAAGUCAUGAAGAAAGCAAUAGCAGAAUACUAAACGAUCGUGUGCUAAGCUAACGGAAUGGGUCAAGUCAAUCACAUCAUUCUCCUAAUGAUGUGAUCCCGUUAAUCAAAUGACAACUCAUGUCUAUGGCUAGGAAACAUAACCAUCUUUGAUCAACAAGCUAGUCAAGUAGAGGCAUAUUAGUGACAAUCUGUUUGUCACUAGUAGAAAACAGGGCUUUGGUCACAGGGCAAUAUUAACAUUAGUCCCGGUUCAUGCGGCUAAGGCAUUAGUCCCGGUUCACCUGAGCCCUUUAGUCCCUGUUUGAGACACGAACCGGGACUAAAGGGUGCGAUGCCCUUUAGUCCCGGUUCGUGUCUCAAACCGGGACUAAAGAUUAGACCUUUAGUCCCGGUUUGAGACACGAACCGGGACUAAAGGGUGCCAUGCCCUUUAGUCCCGGUUCGUGUCUCAAACCGGGACUAAAGGGCUCAUUUUCAAACUCUACCCCCCCUGUGGAUCGCCUUUUCGGUUUUGUAAAAAGCAAAAGAAAAUGAUAAAAACUUCAAAAAUUAAAAUCCUUCCAGAUGUAGUUAUGUUACUACAUGUACUAGUUAGGAAAAUUUAAAAACUUAAAUUUGGACAUGUUUUGCAAAAAGUGUAGGGAAAAUGUAAAACGGCUAUAACUUUUGCAUACGAUAUAUCAAAAUGUUCAGCACGAUAAUCCGCAUCCGAUUUUGACUGCCUACGGCCUGUUUGCAAAUUUGUAGAAUCCUCAAAUUCUAAAAGGAAAAAAAGUUAUGCUCAAAUUUCUGUUUUUUUGAUUUUUUGUUAAAUCUGGUCAAACUAUGGUCAAACUACUUAUUCAAGAAGUAUUAAUGUUACUAAAUAAUUAUUCAAGAAUAUUAGUGUUACUAAAUAAUUAUUUCAGUUUUUUUGAAUUUUGGUCAAAUCUGGUCAAACAAUGGUCAAACUGUGGUCAAACAAUGGUCAAACUAAUUAUUCAAGAAUAUUAGUGUUACUAAAUAAUUAUUUCGGUUUUUUGAAUUUUGGUCAAAUCUGUUCAAACUAUGGUCAAACUACUUAUUCAAGAAAUAUUAGUGUUACUAAAUAAUUAUUUCAGUUUUUUUGAAUUUUGGUCAAAUCUGGUCAAACUGUGGUCAAAAUCUGGUCAAACUGUGGUCAAACUACUUAUUCAAGAAAUAUUAGUGUUACUAAGUAAUUAUUGUUUUUUAAAACAAUAGUUUCAAACUCAAACAGUGAAAUGUAUGACUUCAUGCUCAAGCUAAAUUCCUGAGGGUUAAUAGGAUUGACAUCUUACUAUUGUCAGGAAAACAACAAGUGCAGACUUGGAAACGAGGGAGAAUAGAAUCCGGAAGUUAAGCGUGCUCAGGCUGGAGUAGUUAGAUGAUUUGGAAUGAUGAGGGGUGAUUGGUGGUGAUUAGAGAUUAGAGGUUAAAAAAAAUUCAAAAAUUUGAAAAUCAAAAAAAAAAUUAUUUUUUUUAAAAAAAAAAAAUCAUAAAAUUUCCUUUAGUCCCCAACCGGGACUAAAGGUGGAGCUCCAGGCUGCGGCCACGUGGACGGCCUUUAGUCCCGGUUCGUGUAAGAACCGGGACUAAAGGGGGAGGCUUUAGUAACGACCCUUUAGUCCCGGUUCCAGAACCGGGACAAAAGGCCCUUAUAAACCGGGACAAAAGGCCCUUUAAUACAAUUCUAGCAUGAAUAAUAAACAUUUAUCAUGAUAUCAGGAAAUAAAUAAUAACUUUAUUAUUGCCUCUAGGGCAUAUUUCCUUCAGCAACAACCUCCUUUGCCCCCCAUGAAUAUUCUAGGACGCCCUUGAAUAGUAUGUUUGCAAUACAGAGCUGAAAUGCAACACUUCCCAUUCUUGACUGAACUGCACAACACCGGAAUGUAGUGUCAUUUAAGACAAUAGCUUGCUUCAUGCCAAGAACAGAGGAUUCAUAUGAUGCAGUAAUGAAUAAAAAUAAUCUGAGUACAUAUUGUCCUGCUUAGUGUUCUUGGCAAGAGUUAACCAAGGUCUUUUAUGGGCAUAGCGGUAGUAUUAUGGUAGUUUUAGUGAACAUGGUGAGAGUAAGUUAUGUAGACAUCAUGCUUCUUAGGUUUAAUUCUGUUGUUGUAUGUUCUGUGCUUAAGAGUGCAAAUUUUUACUACCGUGACAUCGUAAUGUAGGUGUUGUUUGUUGUUGUAUUAUUGGUGAAUACUAGCGGCCGUGGUAAACUCCAUGCCUUCGAAGCCCCCUUUUGGCUAAUAUUUUUGUCUCAUUACACUAUCUCUGACUUCCGGAUGCAUCUUCUUCCCCAGCUAAAUUGUCGUACUCACUUGGCAGUCCCAGAUCGAUGUUCUGGACUCUUGGUAUUCAGUCUGAGCAAGUAUGGUGCUCCAUGUUUGUUUAUUGGUGUCUACGCACAAAUAGAUGACAAUUCAUCAAGUGUCUUUACUAUUCAUAUUCACCACUAAUAUUUUAACUUUUUUUUUGCUUAAACUCUCAUAGGUGUAGCCUGCAAGCAUAACAAAAAUGGAUUCGUAUUUCAGAGUCGAUUCAUGCAUUGGCUUGUUACUUGGGGUCCACUGACUGUUUGAAUAUCAUAACUGCAGCUAGACUGACUAAAUGCACAUGCAACGUCAGAAGUAGAUGGUUCUCCCAACAACAGAUUAAAUGAAAAAUCAAUAUAUGUUGAAACAGAUAAUGCCAAAAACACACUGAGAUAUGAGAUGUGGGAUCACACGAAGUGUGAUAGAGGUGUAUGCAGACAUGGGUCAGCCUAUGUAGUUUUCAUGUCACAUAUCACUUCUAAUAUAGUAAUCUGAGCUCAAUUUUGUUUUAUCAGUUUAACUUCUGAGAAUUCUGAAACCUGCAAUUAGUUACUUAAUUUGGGACUUUGAUAAGUGUUACACGUGUGACACGAACACAUGGCAACUCCGAACGUUUUUUAUGACAAGUUUAGUGACGUGAGGAUGACAACUUAAGUUGUCAAGCAUGGCAACUUUCUUUUCACUAUACCAUGGCAAAAGUUUAGGGGCAAAUUAUCUGCCGGGAAUGAUACAGUAAAAGGGCAGCGUAUCUGCCGGCAAGUUCACGGUCAGUGUAACUGCCCUGGAAUCAAAACGAGGGCAAACGCUGCGUCGGUAAGCACGUUGGCGCGGGCUGAAUUCUUUUUGGCGCGAGGCUGGCGUGGGAAAAAUUGAAACAACAGAAGUUACUCGAAUCGUCUCCGUGCUAUGCGGCCCUAAUUAGGUACUCCUAUUUUUUUCCACAAAAGAGGUACUCCUAUUUUAUCCCGUUCCCCACCACUUCUUCUCUCACCCUGACCCAACCGCUGCUAACCCUAACAGCAACGCCGCCGCCGCCGCAUCCUGCAUCCACAAUGCCAAGCCCAGCGCCGCUGCCCCAUUCCCCAAUCACACCGCUGCCCUCACCGCCCCGCCGUCGCCACCCUACUUCCACAUCACGGCGCACGGCCCAUCCCCCAUCUUCGCCCCCACCCGCAUCCGCCACCCGCGCCGCCGUACGCCCCAUCCCCGAUCUUCGCCGCCGCGCCCGCGACCCCCAUCCCACGCUGCCACCCAUCCCCACCGACGCCGCCACACUAGUAUCCCCCACCAACGCCGCCGCCCCAUCCCUAUUCAGGCGGCCGCAGCAACAACCCCGCGGACACACCUACCACCUACGGGCCCCCUGUUUCGCCCCUCACACAGCAGCACCGCAUCUCCUCAGUGCCUGCUCCAUACUGCGUAUCACAUCCUCUCCAUUUGCACUCCCCACAAAUCAGUGGGAGGACGUGCCCAUCUGAAGCAGCAGUAGUAGCAGAACAAGUAGCUACUGCACCGCUUACCUCUGUUUGUGCUCCCCCAGUUUCUGAAGAGGUAUGCAUUUAGAAGUUUCAGUUGUGUGGUUUCGAAUUUUGAACCAUGUUUUGUUGUGCUGUGACAUCCAAGGAUUUUUAGUUCUUCUAAGGUAGUAAAUUUGGCUGGGAGCUAUGAAUCUAAUAGAUGAUGGUAAGGAACAAUGUGUGAUAAGUUAAUACGACAGUCAUGAGAUAAAGGAUAUUUCUUUUGCUGGGAAUCCAAGUGGCUAUAUUCGUUCAUAUUUUUGCUUUUAUGCAAAUGUUCUUAAGUACUCUGAAUAUAGCAUGAUUUGACUAGAUAGGAUCUCUAUUGUUUCUCACACAUAUUUUUAAUUAAUACAUAGAUUGAUAUUUUAGCUAGAGUACAAGAUACCAUUUUACAAAUCCGUUCGAGUUAGUAAUUCAUUUGUAUUAUGUCUAGAUGAUCUCAGUUUUUUUUCUAAGACCUAUUUUUAGUUUAACAGAUAGAUUGAUAAUUUUAAACAAGGUCUUCACGAAUAACAUUUUACUGUUGAUGUUCAGGUCUAGGUUCGCAAGUGGAGGAGGGAUCCAACUUGCAGCCAUAAAUAAUCGAACAAGUACCACUUCAUGGUUAUGGUGAGAUUCUUGAUCCUAGUUGAAGAGUUAAAUUGGUACUUCCAUCGCGUGGUAUCAUUUGACUACAUUUGGAAUAUCUCGUAAUUUUUUUUCAAUCAUUGCAUGAUUGUAUCAUAUGGUGGUAAAAUAUAUUAUGGUGUGAUAAUGGAAAUUCUGGAAUUGGACUAUCACCACAAAGGAUAUAUUGCUCUUUUGAAUGUGAUUGGUUUCACAACCGUAUACACGACAAGUGGGUAAAGAUGCACUAUUGCUAAUUCCGUCUUUUAUAUUGAAGUGUUCCUUCAGAGUACCUCUUUGUUCUUCUAUUUCAGAUUGCAUAACACUUGUACUAAUCCUGAGAUCAUACUUCUUUUCAUGAAAAGAAUGGCAAACAGAGGAGGAUGAGCUGAUGCUGUUAUGCAUGAAGAUUUGCAAAUAGGGAAUGUAAGACAUGUCACAGAAAGGUUGCAUGAAUUCAUUCCAAGUCUUGCGUGGACAAAACAACAAGACAAAGGUGACGGCGGCCUUUGUGUGUUGAUACAUCUUUGCAGAUGUAUGAAGCUAUUUAACAACAAGUUGUGCUUAUCUGUAGGAAAGGCAACACAUCUAAUCAGUCAGCUGUCAAAAUGCCUAGAUGCCGACUAAGAUCUGAGAUCAUAUCACUUACAAAGCAUGACUGGAGGACAUGGCUGCUGAAAACCUGAAUGAUCAUGUGGUACACUUUUCUCACAUUAAAAUGUAUGUAGGUUUCUGAAAUUUGCAAUGUAUUUGACAAUCUUAUAUAUGCAGAUAGAAGUUGAUAGUAAAGUAUGCAGAAGCAACCAUCACAACCGGAAGCAGUCCCCGCAUCUACGAGGUAUUACAUAUUCUUAGAAUUCUGUAAUAUUAGACUAAAGACAAGUUAAUUUUGUUUUCAUUAUCCUCUGGACAAUGCGUAUACGAGCUAGCUCUUCCAAAAUUUAUAUCUUCUGGAUCCCUCGUAUGUUAGGGUCUUGUGGAUGCUACUUUUCUUUAUCUAUAAAGCAGGGUUAUGGCCUGAUUUCUUAAACCAUCAAUAAAAGAGAUCAAGAGAUGCAUAUAUACCAUGGAUGUUGCAACGAUUUACCUUCCUGUAGGCAGCAUUUAACCUGAUUUGCUUGUUCCUGAAACACUCAGGUAAAGGGUUAUCAGAUAUAGAAAUACUUGUAAUAUAAGAAAAAUGAAUAUCCAUGUCCAUCUUUAAUGUUAUCCCAAAAUCUUUGGUGCAAUUAUUCUCUAACUUAUUUCAUAUAUAAAAUUUUCUCUCAUGGUUUAACAAUACUACAUCCAUUUGAGCAUACUAAGAUUCUCUAACCAUGAAAUAUAUUCAGCAAAAAAGGUGGAGCACUUAUCAAAUGAUAUAUUCAUGCUUUAUUGUUUUGUAGUGAAAGAAUAUCUCUUUUGAUAUAUCUCUCCUUUCAAGUAACACAAAACAGUCAGAAACAGUGAUCGACUUGACCAACAUUCUUUUAUUUUGAACAACCUAUAUUCAUUUCAGCAAAUAAUGAUUUAUGGGUGUAUAAAUUUUUUUCUUUUGUUCAAUCACAUUUUUUCCUGAAACCAAGAAGCAGAUAAAAUCAAAGGGUUGUUCAGUUGUUAUACAUUCUCAUAACUAUUGAUUCACACUGUCUAGCAUUAGCACACACUACACAGAACAAACAUGUACAGAAAAACUGAAUGGAGGACACCCUGCAUUGCCACUGGAUUGCUAGUAACUAAUCCUUACCUGCAGUUUUUGGAUGUUCUAUUUACUUCACAGCAAUCAAGAGAAAGUAAUACACCAAAAGAAGAUGACUAUCCGUAAAUAUUUAUAGUGAUAGGUUAUAUCGAUCUUCCUAAUGAUCCAUACAUAUUGCAUGAGUACACACACAUUCUGUUUGUGCCUUGUGCAACGCAAAGUACAGGGCGACACACAUGUUCUUUUCAUUUGAAAUUUUUCUUUUUCUGCCCAUGCUACUUCUACGUUUGGAACAUAUGUUCGUCCGAGCUGAUUUUUUAAUCCAUUUCCUUUUUUGACAGGUCACAGUAUAAUUUCCUUUGCAUCCACAAGUUUCUAGAGGUGUGGUUGUUGAGCUAAAAGGAUCUUCUGCUAGGAUAUUUUUCACUUUUGUCUACGAUGUACUGUAAUACUUAUGAAUCUACAAAUCUAUGUAUGUGUGCAUCUAGACUUGAUAAAUGGUUGUGCUUUUGGCUGUCCUGUUACUGGACUUGUAUGCCCAUGUGUGCAUCUAGGCACGCAUGAUGAAUCUUCUUUGUGCUUUUGGCUAUCCUGCAAUACUGGACUUAUGAACCUACGUAUGCAUGAUGUAGACUUGUGAACUUAUGUAUGGAUGAUGGAUUGCUUAUAUCUAUGCCCAUGUUGUUAUAUAUAUAUUACUGUAUGCAUGUGUGUUAUAUAUAGAUGGCACAAAAUGCAGUGAAGAUAAAUGAUAGCUGUUGGAAUACAUGUAUACAUAUAGGAGAUUAGUGCGUUUGUAGUAGAUGGCAAGUUUUAUUUUUUUGGUUUGUUUUUUCUUUUCGGAUGGCAAUUUUAGUUGUAAAAAAGCCAGGGCCGGAGUGCUUCGUGCCACACUUGUGGCACUUAUAAUUUGGGUUAAUUUAUAGUUGGUAUUUCUUAAUGUGGUAGUUUUUUUUGGUUUCUUCAAACUACUAUGAACUGAAGCAUGCAUAUCUAACUAUUGUUUCCGUAAUUAUUUUUCCACUACAAAUUUACUAUCUCCUAGCUUUGCCAUUUUGGGGACAUUUCAUUAAACCGGGACUUAACCACCUACUCUAAUCAGAGAUUAGAGAUCAGGUGCUACCACAGAUUACAUGCUACCAUUCAUCAAAAAACACAUUUAAAUGUUUAAAAAAAUUUCCAAAAAAAUUGUGAGUGUUCACAAGACAUGCAAUGUUGAGGAUAUCACUUAUCGUUAGCGUCUCGUUUGGCUGGAGAUUAGAGAUUAAUAGGAAAUCAAAUGAUUAAUCAAUUUUAUCGAUUGACUAUUAAUCAUCUAUUUUUUUUACAAAUCUCUGGUUCGCAGCACUAAAAUAUGAUAUAUUCAACACAAAAACAAUAUGGGACUGAAGUGUUACCAUGAUUCCUUGCCUUUGAAUCUUUGUACAAUGACAAACAAUAUAGGACAGCAGCACAUAUUACAUAACAAGGUACACAAAAACAAAUAAACAUAGUUCUUGCACACAUAGUGCUAGAAAUAUGCCCGACUUACCGGUAGAUUCCUGAUAAAUCACUUAUCAGAGCAAUAAACCGGCCCAACGAUAAAUGGUGAGAUAUGGCAUAAUCUUAUCGGUGACCCACCGAGUUGCGAUAAAUUGGUGAAUCGCCGAUUUUUUGAACAGUGGUAUCUAGAUUUCAAAUCCAAAUUCGAAACACACAAGAAGAAACAAAAAAAGACAAAAUCAACAUGAAUAGUGUCACAAAGAGACAAAAGCCAAAAUGACACUAUUCACUUGUGUGUUUUUUGACCCUUGGAUCUCAUAUCAAUGACUAACCUUGCACUGGAGCACCUGAGCUUAGGUGCUCCGGUGGCACCUGAUAUUCUUAAUCAAAGAGGUUUUCAGACGACUUGCUAAUCCAUGAUGACACUGCUACACUGGUCACAUGGACCCAGGUUGGUGUAUUUCUCCUUUCUUUCCCUUUAUAAUUUCUUCAUCUUUGUGCUUGAUGUACAUUGCUAACUUGGGAGGUUACAAACUUUUGCAAACUGGAGGUGUCACAUUGGUUCUUAUACUUUGACCAUCAUUGCACUGAACGGAGCUGCCUAUUUGCCCGGUGAGUGCCCAUGUUGCUGGUUCGAAGGUUCCUACUGGUUCAGACGUAAACAAAAUCAAAGAAACAAGCUAACAGGCACAAUCUGAAUACUGAAACAACAGUAAAUCAUGUGCAUUCUCAGCCAAAUAAAGUUAAGUCUAAUACAAUCUUAGUAGUGAAUCAUGUGUAUGCGUACAGAUAUCUGGAGAUUAGCUGUGAUAGCUCAUAUAGCGGCGGCAAGUCGACCACGUUUGUCCCAGAGAAUCGGUAUUUUUUUUAAAUCUCUCGAACAUAAUGGGUUUACGCAUAAUUGAUGACAAAUAUCUUCACCAGUAACCUUUUGUAUUGCAAUAUUUUCAAACAUUCUGUUAACUCUCUUAUGUUAGUAAAUUAUUCAAAAUUUAUUCAUUUUAUUGAUUUUUUUGAAGACGAAUGAUAAUUUGUUUCACAUGAUAAUAGUACGUGUGUUGCACAUGCACACUUACUAGUUCAAGCCUAAUAAUUAGGAGUACAUUCAACAGUUUUCCUGUAGUAAAGGGGCAAUCCAAAAUACUCCCUCUGUAAACUAAUAUAAAAGCAUUUAGAUAACUACUCUAGUAUUCUAAACGCUCCUAUAUUAGUUUACGGAGGGAGUACUAUCUAAUGAACUAGCAUGCUAGAAUAGAUAAUCAUCAUCACAAGGUGGAACCGUCAAGAGAUGGUUGAUGAAACUGAUGAUGCCAUUGCUCUCUUGAGCCUCCAUUUUUUUUUCUCCUUUCUUGUUUUCAUACUUGUUCACUUGUACUUGAGGCUCCACAUCAUCUAUUUUAUUUUGUUGCACACCAUCCUUUUUCUUGUGUUGCUGCCAAUGAAAAAUGGCUAUGAUUUGUUCAUCGGUCAAACUAGGUCAACGUAGUCUAAAUCUGAUUUUGGACGAAACUUAUCCGGGUUUGAGACUUGAAGGACCAAAUGCCAACCAAAAAAUCUUGAGGGACCAAGUCUAUACUUUUGGAGAAUUUGAGGGACCAAAAACAUACUUUUCUCUAUUAUCUGUUGUUCUAAGUGCACAUGAGUGAUAUUAUUAAUUGCAGCUCUUAUCUUGAGUUAACAUAACUUUUGACCACGUCUACAUAUUGUGAUAUACAGUCCAGCAUUACCAUGUUGCAGAAUUUUCUCAAUAUGAAAUAUUUAAUGUUCUUACAUUGGUGCAUAAUCUGUUUUUAUUAUAUGGAACAUAACUUUGUUUGAACAUGUAUGACGAAUAUCCAAUUCUGAUGAAUAUGAUUCCUUUUAUCAAAACAAACACAAAUCUUAUACUGAAUAGCCAAGAUUGUUGAUAACAAUCAGUGACAAAUGUUUAGAGUUGCUGUUUUUAUUGAAUUUACAUCUCAUGUGUAUGGAACAGUUUAGGUUGUUCCAAAAUUCUCAUAUGGACGCACCGGUUCCCUUUUAAUUUCAAUAUAGUCCACUGAUGUAGCUUGUGCAGUAUCUACCUUUCCCAAAUAAUAGAAAAAAGGUAUGUAAUGUAGAAAAAAUAUGGUCAAAAUAAGUGAACCCUGAUUCUUAUUUCCAAAAAUAAAGUGCAAAAAAUGAUUGCUUCUUUUUAUUUUCUAUAUCAUAAUUAAAGCUGAACUUGUUGUCCAAUUAACAGGUUGGUUACUGGAUUACUAUCUCCCGGAUGUGACGUCCGGCGACCACAGUCUGAUUAUUGUGCUGAAGGUCUAGACACCGAUGAGACCCUCAGUUGAUGGGGAAAUAGUUGGUCAGGCUAAAACGAUCCAAACUUGGUAGCUAUAGUUUGCAUAGUCAUUUUGUCCAUGGAUUUGCACAAGACCUAUAUAGAGUAAUUUGCCAAUGUUCUUCAAAGAGCUUCCGUAUAUGUUAUUUUGUUAAGUACCUUGGGGUUCGAGGUCUAGAGCUACAAGUAUUUGCAACUAGAAUGUGGUCCGUAUGCUAAUUCAAGCUGAUGUGCAUGCUCACUGAACUUUUGAAAUGAAUGGAUGAAUUCUUUACCAGAGCAAAUGGGGUCUCUCCAGUAAGACCCGCCGCAGUUAAUUCACUGGUUUGAACUUUGUGUAACUUGUUAUAUGUGUCUCCCAGACUAAAACAUUUCUAUCACUAAAAAAAAGACACAUCCGUGACAUUUUGGGCCGAAUGAAUUUUUUUCUGUCAUAUUUAUGACACUUCUAUGACGAUAAUUGUGACAAACCCGGUGUCAUCAUAGAUGUGGUGGGCUCCUACUUCUAUGACAAAAAAUCAUGACACAAAAUGGGUUGUUCGUCCUGGGUGGGCCGGAGAUGCAGCUGCAUGACAUUCUUUGGGCCGUCUAUGACGGAAAAAACCGUGGUAGAAGCGAGGGCGAGGAAAAUAUCGGGGUGUUCCCAGUUACGGUGGGUGGUCGGGGCCGAGCGAUGCGCGUUUCUCUCGUACACGCACGCGCGUGGGUGUGAGGCAUUGGGCUCUAACUGAACCCGAGCGAGGCAUUGGGCUCUAACUGAACCCGAGCGAUUGCACUGCAGGCUACGCAUUACUGAACCCGAGCGAUCGAUCGAUGGCUGUUAACUGAACCCGAUCGAGCGAUUCCUUCGCUACUGCUGCUAACUGAAGCCGAUCGAUCCUGCCUCUGGAUGAAUAGUGANNNNNNNNNNNNNNNNNNNNNNNNNNNNNNNNNNNNNNNNNNNNNNNNNNNNNNNNNNNNNNNNNNNNNNNNNNNNNNNNNNNNNNNNNNNNNNNNNNNNNNNNNNNNNNNNNNNNNNNNNNNNNNNNNNNNNNNNNNNNNNNNNNNNNNNNNNNNNNNNNNNNNNNNNNNNNNNNNNNNNNNNNNNNNNNNNNNNNNNNNNNNNNNNNNNNNNNNNNNNNNNNNNNNNNNNNNNNNNNNNNNNNNNNNNNNNNNNNNNNNNNNNNNNGAUCGAGCCGGUUGGGGCUGGAUGAACAGGACCCUGUGGAGGGCUGGAUGAACAGGACCACCCCGUGGAGGGCUGGAAGAACAGUAGACGGUGGAGGGCUGGAUGAACAGUAGCCCGUGGAGGGGUGGUUGAACAGGAGCCCGUGGAGAGGGCUGGUUGAACAGUAGCCGGUGGAGUAGUGCGAGGUGGAGGCUGGAUGAACAGGAGCCCGUGGAUGAAUAGUCGCAGGUGAAGGCUGGAGGAGGUUGACGGUGGAUGAACAGUAGCCCGUGGAGGCCGGAGGGGGUCGACGGUGGAGAUGAACAGUAUCCCAUGGAUUCCCGUUUUGCGGUACGCCACACCCCUCCCGAUGAACAGGACCCCGUUUCGACCGUAGCGCUCCAACACAAGUCCGUUUCCUUUGUUUUGCGGUACGCCACACCCCUCCCGGUGAACAGGACUCCCGUUUCAACCGUAGGAGGUUCGUUUCCUCCGUUUUGAGUACGCCAGACCCCUCCCGGUGAACAGGAUCCCGUUUCGACCGUGGCCGGUCGAACACAAGGCCGUUUCCUCCGUUCUGCGGUACGCCAUGCCUUGUUUCCAUCGGCUGUUCCGUCCAAACCCUCCCGAUGAACACGACGACGCAUUCCGUUCCAACCCAGCCGGUUGGCUCCCCAUGAACACGACGAUGACGCUGUUUCUCCGUUCCGACCCAGCCAUGUACACAAGCCUUGGCCGUACGUACGUGCGAGUAGGCGUUCGAGACCCCCCCGUAUGUACGUACGUGGCCAUAUUUACUUUGUUGCACCAUGGCCGCUGUACGUACAUGUACAUGCUACGUGCGCGCCUCUACUACGACACGUGCACGCUCUACAUCGACCAGUAUGUACGUACACCUUCGCGACCAGAAUGACAACGCUACGUACGCUUUGACCAGGUGGGUCCCGACUGUCAGGCACUCCCUUGCGUGCGAAGAUGUAGCUGGUGGGUCCCAGCAGUUAGGGGGGUGAAUCGUUUUUUUGCCCGGACGCACUUCCUUGCGUGCGAAGAUGUAGCUGGUAGGUCCCAGCAGUCAGGGAGGAAACGUUUUUUUUCACGAAAUACGGUUGCCCGUCCGGUGGGUCCCUGCUGUCAGGUGGAGGAAUCAUUAUUUUCCGUGUAAUAAGGAGGCAGCUGUCAGCCUCUCCACGUACAGUCCACGUCCGAUGGAAGCCGUUCCUUGACCACGUUUACCACGCCGUGCCGAGAGCACCAGGGCGGUGGACGACGGCGAGGCCUAGGAAAGGGACGACGCGGAGCCGGGGAGGACGCGGCAUUGGAUGCCCACGCGUAGAGGAGUAUGAGGGUUCACUGGUUCGGCUGCGGUGUGAGGCUGCCGUCGCCGUAAAAUAACAGGGGGUGUGUGUGAGUAGAGGGAUGGCCUUGCCAGCGGUGGGAGUAGUAGGGGUCGGUGAGGCCUCCGCGGCAUCACAGCUGGCCAUGGGAGGCAGGAGCACGCGGCACGACCGGCGCUGGUUUGGUCGGCUGGUGCAAGAAGACCAGAGGUUGAAGAAGCACUACGGCCGUUGGAUGGACAUUGUACGGUCACUGGAGCUAGAAUCAUUCAUAUUGACUAAGUUGACAAAGCUCUCCGUCCCCGUCAACUUAGUAGGCCCACAAGUCAGCCUCCCACCAAGGUGGGUCCCAGCUAGCAGGGGGAGUAUUCAUUUUUUUCUGCGUAAUAAGGAGGCACUUCCGGUGGGUCCAAGCUGACAGCGGGGGGAACGCUUUUUUCGCGAAAUACGGUGGCCCGUCCGGUGGGUCCCAGCAGUCAGGGGGGAAACGUUUUUUUGCAAAAUAUGGUGGCCCGUCCGGUGGGUCCCUGCUGUCAGGUGGAGGAAUCAUUAUUUUUCACGUAAUAAGGAGGCACUUCCUUACUGCGGCCAUGGACCCAGCUGUCAGCCUCUCCACAUACAGUACACUUCUGAUGGAAGUCGUUUCUUGACCACGUUGACCACGCCGCGUUCUGUUGCAUGCAUGCGUCCAUGGGCGUGCUGCGUCCCCACUGUCAGCCUCUCACGUACAGUCAUCUUCCGAUCACUCGGUUGUUCACCAUGUUGACCACACCGUGCCGAGCACACCAAGGCCGGUGGACGACGGCGAGGCCCCAGACUGGAACGACCCGGAGAUGGGGAAGACGGGGCAGUGGAGUCGCAGAUGGAGAGGAGUGGGAAACUUGACAGGUUCGGGUGCGCGCAGCACAGCCACGGUGCCGCCCACGGGAGACAGGAGCAAGAACAGAGGUUGAAGAAGGAGCACGGCUGUUGGAUUAACAUACAACGGUCCAGCUGCUAGAAUCAUUUGUUGAUUAAGUUGACAAAGCCCUGCGUACAUGUCCGCUUAGUAGGCCCACAAGUCAGCCACCAAAUCUGACGGGUCCCAGCUGUCAAUGGGAGGAAUAAUUUUUUUCGUAUAACAAGGAGGCACUUCCUUCCGUGCAAAGAUACAGCCGGUGGGUCCCAGCUGUCAGGUGGAGGAAACAUUUUUUUCAGCUUAAUAAGGAGGAACUUUCCAUGCGUGCGACCAUGGACCUCGUGGGUCCCAGCCGUCAGGCUCUCCACGUACAGUCCUCUUCCGAUGACUCUCGUUUGUUGACCACGCCGCACCGAGCGCAACGAGGCGGUGGACGACGGCGAGGCCCCGGACGGGAACGACUCAGAGAUGGGAAGACGCUGCAGUGGAGUCGCAGAUUGAGAGGAGGAGAAGAGUUAUAACUGGUUCUGGUGCGGCGUGGGGCUGCAGUCGGUGGAGAAUAACAGGAGGUGUGGAGGGGUGGAGGGAUAGCCUGGCCGGCGGUGGGGUAGCGCUUCGCAGUGAUGUGUGCUAAGCAGAGCCGUUAGCCGCCGGAGGCCGGACCAGGCGGUCCCGGCGACGCUGGAGGAAGAAGACAAGAGAUUGAAGGUGCAUGCCGGCCGUUGGAUAUAAAUCCAAUGGCUGUGGAUGUCAUAAUCAUUUGUUGACCAAAUUGACAACGCCCUGCGUAGGCUUCGACCUAUUGGCCCACAUGUCAGCCUGCAAAAAUGCGGCAUAUAUUUAACCCAUGUUUUCUAGAAUGUACAGUCCAUUUGCUGGGCUGGGUGAACAAAUAAUUUCGCAUCAGUGCGGCCCAUUUAUAUUUUCUAAGGAAUCCUAGCCCAUUUGCACUUCCUUCAAAUACACGAAUUAGCUGUGCUCGUUAUAUAUAUAAUGUUAUGUUAGAAGGAGCAAUUAAUAUCAAAAAAUAAACCGGAGAGGCACAUUUUUUAUAUACAUAAUUAACAAAUUAGCGAGUUAUUGCUCAAAAUAAAAAUGAGUGCGUUAUUAUUACAAUGGUCCUUAAAAUCUUCACAAGCUUUUGUACGCAAUCAUCAGGAUUUUCCUUGCCUGUGAGUCAAAAACAACCAGGAUUUUCCUUGCCAAAUUCUGUUAAACAUUUACUUUUAUAAGUUAAUAACACGUGGGAUGUUUUUAUAAUGUAUAUAUAAGUCUCUAUAAAAUAUAUGAUAAUAGUAAUAAUAUAAAUAUAUAUAAUGUGGUUAAAAAAAUACAUUGGGCUGCCGAUCUUUAAGAAAAAGCCCAUAGGCCGGUAUGGACCUUAAAAAAUAAGUUGAAACCACUGUCACCGUAUGUCGUGGGCUACAGAUGUUAAAAUACAAAACCUAGGCCUAGCUGAUACUUGUUCGCCCUCUGGGAAAAAAUUCAUACCAGAUCCCCGAGCGAACUGGAUUAAAGAGGGGGCCGGCGGCACGACUGAAGAAGCACAUCAGGAGCGAUUUUUUUCUUUAGUGGAUGGCUCUCGAUGGCAUUUUUUUACUUGCCUCUGCACCAUACAACUUCUAUUUUUAGCCUCCCAGUCCAUGGUGGACCAGCAGCCCAUUUGCUGGGCGGGCCAACCUACAGAAACCAGCACUCAAUUUUUCAUCAAGCCCCAAAAACAACGCAGUACUAUGUUUGUUUUGAGGCCGAAAACAUUACGGCAGGGGUUGAGCGGGGGAGGGGGCAAGACAGAGCAAAAAGAUUAAAAAGAGCUGAUGCGCCGUUGCUACCCUAACAAAGCAGGUGCAAUUCUUCUCGGGAAGAAGGUGUGCCGUUGACACCCACACGUCACAUACCCCACAGUAGGCAUACUAACAAGUUCACACACAAGUACAACGGAAAAGGUAAACAUUCGUAUCAAACUUAGGUUCACAGGACACGUUCAUAUUCAUAGCCAACAUUCAC
RNAcentral lists this long non-coding RNA (38283 nucleotides) under Triticum aestivum (bread wheat). RNAcentral's name for it is "long non-coding RNA (TAES_LNC018483)". The record is from RNAcentral. Lineage: Eukaryota; Viridiplantae; Streptophyta; Magnoliopsida; Poales; Poaceae.